UCCAUUCAUUCCCUUUCCUCCGAUGUUAAUCUCUCUUCCCAUCUCGUUCCCCUUACCAUCGCAAGUCGUCUAGGGUUCGUCAGAGAUCAAUCCUUUCGAGGGCUUCUCUUUUUUGCUGUUCUGGUCGAGAUUCAUCGCAUGUUUUCUCGAAUAUAUUUGAUGGAUGUUUUCUCUUACUAAUCCAUUAAGGAACGGGAUCGAUCACCCACGGCAUAUAUCCACCAUUUCCAUCAAAGGAGUGGGGCAUCUCGUCCGCAAAGGCACAGAAGGAAGGUCAUCCUUGAGGAAUGGAGUGUGAGACAAGAAAUUCCAGCUUUGAAGAAGCAAAUCAUUCCACGACUGAGCAGCUUGCAGUGGCAUGUAUGUGUGGUUAUGGAUACCAUUAUCAUGAGCAAUCUUCAGUUUGAAUCUUGGCUUCUCUUUGGAGCAGUAAUGAAGAAUGACGGGGAGAUCAUUUCCUCCUUUGCCUUUUGCAACAUUAAUUGUAUUGAUAGCUUUCAUCUUCAGCCAGAGUUUGCUUAGU
Non-coding RNA from Elaeis guineensis (African oil palm), 523 nucleotides. Lineage: Eukaryota; Viridiplantae; Streptophyta; Magnoliopsida; Arecales; Arecaceae. The record is from RefSeq and is a predicted model, not a curated record.